RNAcentral lists this ribosomal RNA (487 nucleotides) under uncultured bacterium. RNAcentral's name for it is "partial 16S ribosomal RNA". It matches the Rfam family "Bacterial small subunit ribosomal RNA", at positions 29 to 505 of the family's 1533-position model. The record is from RNAcentral.
UUGAACGCUGGCGGCAGGCCUAACACAUGCAAGUCGAACGGUAACAGGAAACAGCUUGCUGUUUCGCUGACGAGUGGCGGACGGGUGAGUAAUGUCUGGGAAACUGCCUGAUGGAGGGGGAUAACUACUGGAAACGGUAGCUAAUACCGCAUAACGUCGCAAGACCAAAGAGGGGGACCUUCGGGCCUCUUGCCAUCGGAUGUGCCCAGAUGGGAUUAGCUAGUAGGUGGGGUAACGGCUCACCUAGGCGACGAUCCCUAGCUGGUCUGAGAGGGUGACCAGACACCCGUGAACAGAAACGCGGUCCAGGCCCCUAGGGGGGGCAAGAGGGGGGAAUAUUGCAAAAUGGGGGGAAACCUGGUGCAGGCAUGCCGGGUUUAAUGAAAAGGCCUUGGGGUUGAAAAGUUCUUUCAGGGGGGGAAAAAGGGAUAAAGUUAAUACCCUUGCCCAUUGGCGUUACCCGCAGAAAAAGCCCCGGCAAAACCCG